RNAcentral lists this ribosomal RNA (163 nucleotides) under Siphonostegia chinensis. RNAcentral's name for it is "5.8S ribosomal RNA". It matches the Rfam family "5.8S ribosomal RNA". From Rfam's summary of the family: 5.8S ribosomal RNA (5.8S rRNA) is a component of the large subunit of the eukaryotic ribosome. It is transcribed by RNA polymerase I as part of the 45S precursor that also contains 18S and 28S rRNA. Lineage: Eukaryota; Viridiplantae; Streptophyta; Magnoliopsida; Lamiales; Orobanchaceae. RNAcentral also lists the same sequence under 1 other name. The record is from RNAcentral.
GUCAAAACGACUCUCGGCAACGGAUAUCUCGGCUCUCGCAUCGAUGAAGAACGUAGCGAAAUGCGAUACUUGGUGUGAAUUGCAGAAUCCCGUGAACCAUCGAGUCUUUGAACGCAAGUUGCGCCCGAAGCCAUUCGGCCAAGGGCACGUCUGCCUGGGCGUC